UGUUCGAGGAGCUGGUGCUCAAGGCGCUGGUACAAUCCUUUCUCUCUUUCUCUGUAAGUUAUAUAUGGAUUUUGGGUUACAGUCUGGUCAUACAAAACGCAGACACAGCUUCAAAUUCAUACAAAACGCAGUUCAUUUACUAAAAAAACAACAUAAAUAAUCUACUUACUAAUCCAAAAUGAAGGCACCAAUAACGAUAGAACUGCAUAAUUUAAUUACCUCAGCUAGUAAAAAGGAAAUGCUGCAAAAUUCCGUUGAUCAAAACAAACCCAAAAUUCCUUUCCUGCACUACUUAAGCAUCACAGCUUCAGAUUCACCUUCUUCCAAUCAAGUCCCAAGAACACUACACACCAAAAUUGCAUGAACAGAGAAACCCAAGCUCAACCCAGUAAAUUUCCUUUAGAAUUAAAACCAAUAAAACACUCGGUCAAAUAUCACCCCUCAGAAAAAACACAUAAGGAUCAAAAUUAGACAAAAACCCAGAUCUUAUUAUUGAUACAAAAUUAGAUAUAUCCAUAUUUGCUCAAAAUUAGGUGAAAUUAGGCACUACUUAUA
This 555-nucleotide long non-coding RNA is filed under the name Panax ginseng (ginseng). Its description in RNAcentral is "long non-coding RNA (PGIN_LNC004469)". Lineage: Eukaryota; Viridiplantae; Streptophyta; Magnoliopsida; Apiales; Araliaceae. The record is from RNAcentral.